[Ashbya] aceris (nom. inval.) is the source of this 71-nucleotide non-coding RNA. Lineage: Eukaryota; Fungi; Ascomycota; Saccharomycetes; Saccharomycetales; Saccharomycetaceae. The record is from the annotation of a GenBank genome assembly.
CUCUCUUAGCUUAAUGGUAAAGCCUAAUACUUCUAAUAUUAUGAGUCUAUGUUCAAAUCAUAGAGAGAGUA